Molecule: ribosomal RNA, 886 nt
Filed under: Amphiorchis sp. SCC-2016
Lineage: Eukaryota; Metazoa; Platyhelminthes; Trematoda; Strigeidida; Spirorchiidae
Description: eukaryotic LSU rRNA
Rfam family: Eukaryotic large subunit ribosomal RNA
Source: RNAcentral
UACUAACACGAGUCCGAUAGCAAACAAGUACCGUGAGGGAAAGUUGAAAAGUACUUUGAAGAGAGAGUAAACAGUGCGUGAAACUGCUCAAAGGUAAACGGGUGGAGUUGAACUGCAAGCUUUGGGAAUUCAGCUGAUGAGUAUGGCUAGCGUUCAGGCUUGUUGGCCGUCCCUGAAUGUCUGUCUAAUGGCAGGUGCCUUCCCUUUGGGUUGGUAUGUGUGUUGCGCUUAUCAUGUGCCACACGCAUUUGGGGUAAUGGGUCUGCUUGUCAGUGCACUUUCUCAGAGUGUUCACCACGACCGGCACUGCUGUCUGUCUGCAUUAGUCAAACUGGUCAGGUCUGGUUAUCGCUAGGCUUGGUUGGGAUGGCAGGUAGCUCGAGUGUUCCUUUAUUGGACUUUGAGUGUAAUGAGCUGACCAUUGUGGAUCUGUACGGUGUGUCGGAGAUGACGGCUUUGCAUGCGUGCUCUGUCCUUCGGGCGAGAUUGAGUCCGGUUGGCUUGUUACUGACUUCGGUUAGUCUGUCGAUGGCUUAGUCUUGUUCAGUUGGCGGUUGCGUGUGUAACUUGGUUUGGGCCAAUAGUCUGUGGUGUAGUGGUAGACGAUCCACCUGACCCGUCUUGAAACACGGACCAAGGAGUUUAACAUAUGCGCGAGUCAUUGGGCACUACGAAACCCAAAGGCGAAGUGAAGGUAAAGGUUUGGCUUGUCUGAACUGAGGUGAGAUCCUGUUGGUUUGCCUAGUAAAUAUCUGAACAGCGAACAGCGGGCGCAUCACCGGCCCGUCCCAUGGCGUAGACAUAUGACCUUGUGUUGUGUGCACCGUCGGGGCGGAGCAAGAGCGCAUACGUUGAGACCCGAAAGAUGGUGAACUAUGCUUGCUAA